Molecule: ribosomal RNA, 497 nt
Filed under: uncultured bacterium
Lineage: Bacteria
Description: partial 16S ribosomal RNA
Rfam family: Bacterial small subunit ribosomal RNA
Source: RNAcentral
GAUGAACGCUGGCGGCGUGCUUAAUACAUGCAAGUCGAGCGAACAGAUGAGGCGCUUGCUCCUCUGACGUUAGCGGCGGACGGGUGAGUAACACGUGUAUAACCUACCUAUAAGACUGGGAUAUCUUCGGGAAACCGGAUCUAAUACCGGAGAAUCUAUUGCACCGCAUGGUUCAAUAGUAAAAUUCGGUUUUGCUGUCACUUAUAGAUGGAUCCCGGCUGCUUUAGCUAGUCGGUAAGGUAACGGGUUUUCAAGGCAACGAUGCGUAAGCGACCUGAGAGACGGGUAGGCGACACUGGAACUGAGACACGCACCAGACUCCUACGGGACGCAGCAGUAGCGAAUCGGCCGCAGUGGGCGAGAGCAUGGCGCAGCAACGCCGCGUGAGUGAUGGAGGUCUUCGGUUCGUAAAACCCGGUUACUAGGGAAGAACCAAUGUGUAAGUAGAUAUACACGUAUUGACGGUAACUAGUCAGAAAGCACCGGCUAACUACGUG